UACGUAGGGGGCUAGCGUUGUCCGGAAUCAUUGGGCGUAAAGCGCGUGUAGGCGGUCCGGUAAGUCCGCUGUGAAAGUCGAGGGCUCAACCCUCGAAUGCCGGUGGAUACUGUCGGGCUAGAGUGCGGAAGAGGCGAGUGGAAUUCCUGGUGUAGCGGUGAAAUGCGUAGAUAUCGAGAGGAACACCUGCGGCGAAGGCGGGUAGCUGGGCCGACACUGACGCUGAUGCGCGAAAGCCAGGGGAGCGAACGGG
RNAcentral lists this ribosomal RNA (253 nucleotides) under uncultured bacterium. RNAcentral's name for it is "partial 16S ribosomal RNA". It matches the Rfam family "Bacterial small subunit ribosomal RNA", at positions 524 to 776 of the family's 1533-position model. The record is from RNAcentral.